CGAGUUUGAUCAUGGCUCAGGAUGAACGCUAGCGGCAGGCUUAAUACAUGCAAGUCGUGGGGCAGCGCGGGUAGCAAUACCUGGCGGCGACCGGCAAACGGGUGAGGAACAUGUACGCAACCUUCCUUUAACUGGAGAAUAGCCCCUCGAAAGAGGGAUUAAUACUCCGUAACAUAAUGAAGUGGCAUCACUUUAUUAUUAUAGCUCCGGCGGUUAAAGAUGGGCGUGCACCUGAUUAGAUAGUUGGAGUGGUAACGGCACCCCAAGACAGCGAUAGAUAGGGGCCCUGAGAGGGGGAUCCCCCACACUGGUACUGAGACACGGACCAGACUCCUACGGGAGGCAGCAGUGAGGAAUAUUGGACAAUGGGCGAGAGCCUGAUCCAGCCAUGCCGCGUGCAGGAAGACGGCCCUAUGGGUUGUAAACUGCUUUUGUACGGGAAGAAACACCCCCUCGUGAGGGGGCUUGACGGUACCGUAAGAAUAAGGAUCGGCUAACUCCGUG
RNAcentral lists this ribosomal RNA (504 nucleotides) under uncultured bacterium. RNAcentral's name for it is "bacterial SSU rRNA". It matches the Rfam family "Bacterial small subunit ribosomal RNA", at positions 9 to 507 of the family's 1533-position model. The record is from RNAcentral.